UACGUAGGGUGCGAGCGUUGUCCGGAAUUACUGGGCGUAAAGAGCUCGUAGGUGGUUUGUCGCGUUGUUCGUGAAAACUCACAGCUCAACUGUGGGCGUGCGGGCGAUACGGGCAGACUGGAGUACUGCAGGGGAGACUGGAAUUCCUGGUGUAGCGGUGGAAUGCGCAGAUAUCAGGAGGAACACCGGUGGCGAAGGCGGAUCUCUGGGCCUUACCUGACGCUGAGGCGCGAAAGCUAGGGGAGCGAACAGG
This 253-nucleotide ribosomal RNA is filed under the name uncultured bacterium. RNAcentral describes it as "partial 16S ribosomal RNA". It matches the Rfam family "Bacterial small subunit ribosomal RNA", at positions 524 to 776 of the family's 1533-position model. The record is from RNAcentral.